RNAcentral lists this ribosomal RNA (443 nucleotides) under uncultured bacterium. RNAcentral describes it as "partial 16S ribosomal RNA". It matches the Rfam family "Bacterial small subunit ribosomal RNA", at positions 338 to 795 of the family's 1533-position model. The record is from RNAcentral.
CCUACGGGUGGCAGCAGUGGGGAAUAUUGGGCAAUGGAGGCAACUCUGACCCAGCAACGCCGCGUGAAUGAUGAAGGUCUUCGGAUUGUAAAGUUCUGUGAUGGGGGAUGAACACAUGGACGGUACCCUAAUAGCAAGCCACGGCUAACUACGUGCAAGCAGCCGCGGUAAUACGUAGGUGGCAAGCGUUAUCCGGAAUGACUGGGCGUAAAGGGUGCGUAGGUGGGUUAGUAAGUUGGCGGUGUAAUUUCGGGGCUUAAACUCGGCGCUACCGCCGAAACUAUUAGACUAGAGUGCAGGAGGGGUAAGUGGAAUUCCAGGUGUAGCGGUGGAAUGCGUAGAUAGUAGGAGGAACAUCAGGGGCGAAGGCGGCUUACUGGACUGUAACUGACGCUGAGGCACGAAAGCGUGGGGAGCAAACAGGAUUAGAUACCCGGGUAGUC